Non-coding RNA from Prochlorococcus marinus, 287 nucleotides. The record is from Rfam. Lineage: Bacteria; Bacillati; Cyanobacteriota; Cyanophyceae; Synechococcales; Prochlorococcaceae.
CAGUUUCUAUUUGUUGAGGACAAAUAAAAUGUAUAUGUGUAUCAAUAGAUCCUGCAGUAAGAAUAUGUCCUUCACCAGCUAUUACUUCAGUAGAAGAGCCAAUAAUAAUAUUUAUAUUAUCUUGUAUAUCUGGAUUUCCAGCUUUACCAAUUUCAUAAAUUUUUCCAUCUUUCAAUCCGACAUCAGCUUUUACUAUUCCCCACCAAUCGACUAUUAAGGCAUUUGUUAUUACUGUAUCAACAGCUCCAUCCUCUCUGGUUACUUGAGACUGGCCCAUCCCAUCUCUG